GGGGAUGUAGCUCAAUGGUACAGUGCCUGCCUGGCAAGCACGAGGCCCUGGGUUGGAUUCCUAGUACCA
RNAcentral lists this transfer RNA (69 nucleotides) under Heterocephalus glaber (naked mole-rat). It matches the Rfam family "tRNA". From Rfam's summary of the family: Transfer RNA (tRNA) molecules are approximately 80 nucleotides in length. The record is from Rfam by way of RNAcentral. Lineage: Eukaryota; Metazoa; Chordata; Mammalia; Rodentia; Bathyergidae.